UACGGGGGGGGUAAGCGUUGUUCGGAAUUACUGGGCGUAAAGGGCUCGUAGGCGGCCAACUAAGUCGGACGUGAAAUCCCUCAGCUUAACUGGGGAACUGCGUCCGAUACUGGAUGGCUUGGAUUUGGGAGAGGGAUGCGGAAUUCCAGGUGUAGCGGUGAAAUGCGUAGAGAUGUGGAGGAACACCAAUGGCGAAGGCAGCCUCCUGGGCCAAUACUGACACUCAUGCACGAAAGCGUGGGGAGCAAACAGG
This 253-nucleotide ribosomal RNA is filed under the name uncultured bacterium. Its description in RNAcentral is "partial 16S ribosomal RNA". It matches the Rfam family "Bacterial small subunit ribosomal RNA", at positions 524 to 776 of the family's 1533-position model. The record is from RNAcentral.